RNAcentral lists this ribosomal RNA (433 nucleotides) under uncultured bacterium. Its description in RNAcentral is "partial 16S ribosomal RNA". It matches the Rfam family "Bacterial small subunit ribosomal RNA", at positions 28 to 507 of the family's 1533-position model. The record is from RNAcentral.
AACGAACGCUGGCGGCAGGCUUAACACAUGCAAGUCGAGCGGACCCUCCGGGGUUAGCGGCGGACGGGGGAGGAAGGAGGGGGAAUAUGCCCUUCCCUACGGAAUCGUCCUGGGAAAGUGGGGGUAAUACCGCAUACGCCAUUCGGGGGAAGGAUUUAUCGGGGAAGGAUUAGCCCGCGUUGGAUUAGGUGGUUGGUGGGGUACUGGCCUACCAUGCCGACGAUCCAUGGCUGGUGUGAGAGGAUGAUCAGCCACACUGGGACUGCGACACGGCCCAGACUCCUACGGAGGGCAGCGGUGGGGAAUCUUAGACGAUGGAGGCAACCGUGGUCUAGCCACGCCGCGUAAGUGGUGAAGGCCUUAGGGUUGUAAAGCUCUUUCAGCUGGGACGAUAGUGACGGUACCAGCAGAAGAAGCCCCGGCUAACUCCGUG